Molecule: ribosomal RNA, 495 nt
Filed under: uncultured bacterium
Lineage: Bacteria
Description: partial 16S ribosomal RNA
Rfam family: Bacterial small subunit ribosomal RNA
Source: RNAcentral
GACGAACGCUGGCGGCGUGCCUAAUACAUGCAAGUAGAACGCUGAAGGAGGAGCUUGCUUCUCUGGAUGAGUUGCGAACGGGUGAGUAACGCGUAGGUAACCUGCCUGGUAGCGGGGGAUAACUAUUGGAAACGAUAGCUAAUACCGCAUAAUAGUAGAUGUUGCAUGACAUUUGCUUAAAAGGUGCACUUGCAUCACUACCAGAUGGACCUGCGUUGUAUUAGCUAGUUGGUGGGGUAACGGCUCACCAAGGCGACGAUACAUAGCCGACCUGAGAGGGUGAUCGGCCAAACUGGGACUGAGACACGGCCCAGACUCCUACGGGAGGCAGCAGUAGGGAAUCUUCGGCAAUGGACGGAAGUCUGACCGAGCAACGCCGCGUGAGUGAAGAAGGUUUUCGGAUCGUAAAGCUCUGUUGUAAGAGAAGAACGAGUGUGAGAGUGGAAAGUUCACACUGUGACGGUAUCUUACCAGAAAGGGACGGCUAACUACGUG